Ornithodoros turicata is the source of this 525-nucleotide long non-coding RNA. RefSeq lists it as uncharacterized. The transcript is spliced from 3 exons. NCBI's taxonomy places the organism in Eukaryota, Metazoa, Arthropoda, Arachnida, Ixodida, Argasidae. The record is from RefSeq and is a predicted model, not a curated record.
UUAUCCUUACUUGCAUACAGUCAGCACAUGUUGAGGACUGUCUUACAGAUGCAAUACGGUAUUGUUGAGUUCUUUGAAACCAAGGAAGUUGAAGUCGUCCCAUGUUCAUGGAUCCGUGGGAACAAGUGCCUGUGGCCAAAUCGGCCAUCAAAUAAAGUGGUGCGAAUGGUUAAGAAGGGGUCUCUCCCGGGUAUGGACUGUGCCGAAUACAACGCACAAGUUGAAGGAAUAUUCGUGUCGUACCGUGAUGCAAGGUUGAAGCUCCCUAUUUCUGAAUUAACCUCAGACAUGAACUCGGAAAUUCCGGCAAAGAGAAGGAGGGUGCCAAAAGUAAUCGAAAGUGAAGACGACUUCCCACCUGUGCCCGGGAGCUUUAUCUUGACUGCAAAAGAGGCCACGACGAGGCAAGGUGAACAUCUGUCUGGUAAGUUGCUCAGCCAAUCUUCAUGUCAUGCAUCAAUUUAAAAAGAAAUUACAGCUACCACACGUCCGUGGAAGGAUACUGCAGGUACGUUUGUGAAAUAU